GUCGGGAAUUUUGGGCAAUGGGCGAAAGCCUGACCCAGCAACGCCGCGUGAAGGAUGAAGUAUUUCGGUAUGUAAACUUCGUAAGAAUAGGAAGAAUAAAUGACGGUACUAUUUGUAAGGUCCGGCUAACUACGUGCCAGCAGCCGCGGUAAUACGUAGGGACCAAGCGUUGUUCGGAUUUACUGGGCGUAAAGGGCGCGUAGGCGGCGUGGUAAGUCAGCUGUGAAAUCUCCGAGCUUAACUCGGAACGGUCAGCUGAUACUGCUGUGCUAGAGUACAGAAAGGGCAAUCGGAAUUCUUGGUGUAGCGGUGAAAUGCGUAGAUAUCAAGAGGAACACCUGAGGCGAAGGCGGGUUGCUAGGCUGAUACUGACGCUGAGGCGCGAAAGCUAGGGUAGCAAACGGGAUUAGAUACCCUAGUAGUCC
RNAcentral lists this ribosomal RNA (425 nucleotides) under uncultured bacterium. RNAcentral describes it as "partial 16S ribosomal RNA". It matches the Rfam family "Bacterial small subunit ribosomal RNA", at positions 354 to 796 of the family's 1533-position model. The record is from RNAcentral.